UACGUAGGGACCGAGCGUUGUCCGGAAUCAUUGGGCGUAAAGAGCGUGUAGGCGGCUUGCUAAGUCUUGCGUGAAAUCUCGGGGCUCAACCCCGAGCGGUCGUGGGAAACUGGCAGGCUAGAGUGCGGGAGAGGAGAAUGGAAUUCCUGGUGUAGCGGUGAAAUGCGCAGAUAUCAGGAAGAACACCCGUGGCGAAGGCGGCUCUCUGGAACGCAACUGACGCUGAGACGCGAAAGCGUGGGGAGCGAACAGG
RNAcentral lists this ribosomal RNA (253 nucleotides) under uncultured bacterium. RNAcentral describes it as "partial 16S ribosomal RNA". It matches the Rfam family "Bacterial small subunit ribosomal RNA", at positions 524 to 776 of the family's 1533-position model. The record is from RNAcentral.